UUAAAAGCAGCAGUUUGAAGAGUAUCAUUUUCUACAUGUGUUUCAGAAGAAGAGCUUGUAUUAUCCCCCUUAUGUGAAUCACCAUAAACUAAAGAACUACGGUCUACGGCUGAGAACAGAUAUCAAGUUUUCCAUGAACGUAAAUGGAAGCUCUGUAUGUCCAUACCGACAAUAAAAAGGCAUGUACCACGGCGGCGAUGUCAGUCCCAAAGAGAUGAAUAUGAAGUGAGUCGGUGUUUCCAUUGAACCUCACGCCGCAGGUGAGUAAACCAAACACCACGAAAGCUCUCCCCACAGGUUUACCGGCGCUAAUGGAGUAAUUGUCUUGAACCGUCGAUCAAUCUCUUCAAAGAGAAGUAAGAACUCUCAUCCUCAUCUCCUCACAAAGAGUCUUUCGCCAUAGCCUUUCGACGAAGCCCACUUCACAAUGAACGGCGGCAGCAAAGAUUUUCCACCACCAUGUGGUUUGUGCCAACUGUAGAUAAGACAAAAACGAUCGAAAGCGGUCCGAAUUGUUUAUCAAACGAUCUUGUGGAGAGAAAAGAGAAAAACAGAAAGAGAUAUAAAAUCUACCAUCUGAUAAACACCAAUAAAAAGCUACUAAAAAAAUAAGUUUCAAAGUUUUAAUAGAAAUAAUUUGAAGUCACUGUUAUGAGGAGCAUAAGAACAUGCUUACCUUUGAAUCCAGUAACGGCAUAUCAACUUCCCAUGAGUUCCCACCGCGCCUGACAUUCGUCGCCUCCCAGCAUCAAUCUAACCUCAACAGUUGAAGAACAUAAACUGGACUUCAAAUUAGAGAGGAAAACUUUGGAGUUAGCCAACUUGCUUGAAGAAUAAGCUUACUUUGCUACUUACAAAGACUGAAAAGAUGGUUCUGAGAGGAAAGAAGCUAACCUAUUAAUACUCGCAGAUACACAGCCUCCUACAAAACAAACUCGUAUUGAAGGUUUAGAUCGUGGUUGGUGAAUUUAAUAAGAGGCUAAACGGAAUGAAUCUGUAAUGGGAACGUUUCAAUUGAUGAAUACAAAGAUCAAACGUCAAGACCAAAACCCAAAGAAGAGUAUUCACGCUUUCUCCACCAUCAAAAUCUCUCUAAUGGCAGAGAAGAGGCGGAUGAACCCAAAACGUCGUGAAGCCGAGGAAGACACGAUAGUCGCUUUGGGGCUUGAACUGCUGAGUAAAUAGAAGGCCCAACCAUGAAGCCCACAAAUAUUAAGCACGACUUUAAAUGAAACGAAGCGUAUUGUAAAAAGGGACAUGUGUCACUCUCUCCUCCCUCUAUUUGAUGACAUGGCAAGAGGAGAAGAGAGUGAAUCUCUUCUUUAUAGUAUAAGUAAUAAAAAAAUGAAUAAUUUCUUUUCUAAGAUAUUUUUUUAGGACAAUCAAAAUCACUCAUUGUGAUAAUUUCUGAAAAUAUUUCAGCAAAGAAUUUAAAGAUAUUUAUAUUAUUAUUUGUGAAGUAAUUUUUUCGUUUCCCUGUUAAAAGUUAAAACGUUUAAAGUUGUUAUUAUCUUUAUAAAUAAUUAGAUUAUAUUCCUAAUAUAUAACUACCCAUAAAUUCAAAACAAAUUUCUUUAAUUUGAAAAUCACCAUUAUCUAAAACGAUUUUAUAUCAUGUUAUCCAAAAAUAUUUUUCAUCAUAAUAUUUUUAAAAUAAAUAUAAAUCUAUGUAUAUAUUAAUGUUUUCAAGUUAAUUUAUGUAAUUAAAUAUAUUUUUUUAUCAUGCACAAAAAUUUAAUACUUAAUUAAUUAUCAAAUAUUUCAAAAAACAUGAAAAUAAUUUAUUCUUAUGGUUAAUGAAUUGAUAAUAUAUUUAUUUAAAAUUUUUUGUAAAAUUAUUAAAAUAUGAAAACACCUAAUUGAUCGUAUUUUGACCUGAACAACAAACACUCACGACAAUAGACAUUGUGUUUUGACCUUUAUCCGCUCUCGCGUAAAGAGAGUCGCAAAGAAACCCUUAAUCCAAUCAUUGUUUGGGUCAUCACUCUGGAUCUAACCAACCAUUCUUAGGAGAAGAGAGUGAAUCUCUUCUUUAUAGUAUAAAUUGUAAACUGUAAAUAUAAUAUUGUCAAAUUAUCCUAUAAAAUUAUAGUUAACUUUAUCUUUUAUUUACUUUAUUAAUAUUAAAUAUUAUAUUAAUAAAAAAAUGAAUAAUUUCUUUUCUAAGAUAUUUUUUUAGGACAAUCAAAAUCACUCAUUGUGAUAAUUUCUGAAAAUAUUUCAGCAAAGAAUUUAAAGAUAUUUAUAUUAUUAUUUGUGAAGUAAUUUUUUCGUUUCCCUGUUAAAAGUUAAAACGUUUAAAGUUGUUAUUAUCUUUAUAAAUAAUUAGAUUAUAUUCCUAAUAUAUAACUACCCAUAAAUUCAAAACAAAUUUCUUUAAUUUGAAAAUCACCAUUAUCUAAAACGAUUUUAUAUCAUGUUAUCCAAAAAUAUUUUUCAUCAUAAUAUUUUUAAAAUAAAUAUAAAUCUAUGUAUAUAUUAAUGUUUUCAAGUUAAUUUAUGUAAUUAAAUAUUUUUUUUUAUCAUGCACAAAAAUUUAAUACUUAAUUAAUUAUCAAAUAUUUCAAAAAACAUGAAAAUAAUUUAUUCUUAUGGUUAAUGAAUUGAUAAUAUAUUUAUUUAAAAUUUUUUGUAAAAUUAUUAAAAUAUGAAAACACCUAAUUGAUCGUAUUUUGACGUGAACAACAAACACUCACGACAAUAGACAUUGUGUUUUGACCUUUAUCCGCUCUCGCGUAAAGAGAGUCGCAAAGAAACCCUUAAUCCAAUCAUUGUUUGGGUCAUCACUCUGGAUCUAACCAACCAUUCUUGAAGAAGAUGAUAGCUGUGAUAGGAUUGAUUCUGGAUUUCUCAAAAUGGCUUCCCACUCUCCUGAGGCUAGAGCUAGAGGCAACCACUAUUCAGAUGUUUGUUUUUGAGGAGACAGAGCAUGUCACCUUCUGAAUCUCAAAACAUAGACAGUAUGGAGGAUAUUUUAUGGUUGUCCAUAUCUCUGUUUUGUAGGAUGCUUUUGAAUUGUUGAGCCUUCAGGUGUCUUGAUUGAAUUGCAUACAUCAAUCUCGCCAGUAAGAUCAAUCCACUUUUAUUUUUCUCUUCGCUCCCCAUUGCAAGCCAAAAUCUAAGCAAAGACAUGUAUCAUUUGCAAGUCCAUGAAGUAAGUGCCACAACGACAGAAGAGUAGCUUUUCUCAUCAGCCUUUUUUUGCUAUUUUCCCCGCCAUCUCUGGUUAAUUUAGUAUGUUAGCCACAAAAAUGAAUUAAGUAGACAAAGGUAAAGUGGAUGGUUUAAGAAACGUACAUUAAAAGCAGCAGUUUGAAGAGUAUCAUUUUCUACAUGUGUUUCAGAAGAAGAGCUUGUAUUAUCCCCCUUAUGUGAAUCACCAUAAACUAAAGAACUACGGUCUACGGCUGAGAACAGAUAUCAAGUUUUCCAUGAACGUAAAUGGAAGCUCUGUAUGUCCAUACCGACAAUAAAAAGGCAUGUACCACGGCGGCGAUGUCAGUCCCAAAGAGAUGAAUAUGAAGUGAGUCGGUGUUUCCAUUGAACCUCACGCCGCAGGUGAGUAAACCAAACACCACGAAAGCUCUCCCCACAGGUUUACCGGCGCUAAUGGAGUAAUUGUCUUGAACCGUCGAUCAAUCUCUUCAAAGAGAAGUAAGAACUCUCAUCCUCAUCUCCUCACAAAGAGUCUUUCGCCAUAGCCUUUCGACGAAGCCCACUUCACAAUGAACGGCGGCAGCAAAGAUUUUCCACCACCAUGUGGUUU
RNAcentral lists this long non-coding RNA (3766 nucleotides) under Brassica rapa (field mustard). Its description in RNAcentral is "long non-coding RNA (BRAP_LNC002688)". The record is from RNAcentral. Lineage: Eukaryota; Viridiplantae; Streptophyta; Magnoliopsida; Brassicales; Brassicaceae.